Molecule: ribosomal RNA, 500 nt
Filed under: uncultured bacterium
Lineage: Bacteria
Description: partial 16S ribosomal RNA
Rfam family: Bacterial small subunit ribosomal RNA
Source: RNAcentral
AUUGAACGCUGGCGGAAUGCUUUACACAUGCAAGUCGAACGGCAGCACGGACUUCGGUCUGGUGGCGAGUGGCGAACGGGUGAGUAAUGUAUCGGAACGUGCCCAGUCGUGGGGGAUAACGUAGUGAAAAUUACGCUAAUACCGCAUGCGAUCUAUGGAUGAAAGCGGGGGAUCGCAAGACCUCGCGCGAUUGGAGCGGCCGAUAUCAGAUUAGGUAGUUGGUGGGGUAAAGGCCCACCAAGCCAACGAUCUGUAGCUGGUCUGAGAGGACGACCAGCCACACUGGAACUGCGACACGGUCCAGACUCCUACGGGAGGCAGCAGUGGGGAAUUUUGGACAAUGGGCGAAAGCCUGAUCCAGCCAUUCCGCGUGCAGGAUGAAGGCCCUCGGGUUGUAAACUGCUUUUGUACAGAACGAAAAGGUUUCUACUAAUACUAGGAGCUCAUGACGGUACUGUAAGAAUAAGCACCGGCUAACUACGUGCCAGCCGCCGCAGUAA